UUAGUUAUCAUAUACCAUGCUCUGGUAUAUAUAGGGAUCUCAAUGCAGUGUGCCGAUUAACUUAUUCAUAAAAGCCAAGAAUAUGACAAUGAAAUAUUAUGUCUUGAAGCUAGUAAGUUUGUUACUAAUGGCCCUGAUGUUUUACAUAGAAGGAGCAUUUGGAAGUACCCCGCCUUGUUGUUUCUAUGAUCCUGACUGCUGCCAACGCACCCUUCGCCUAGCUGGUAUGAACGUUGUUGUCCCGAACCUCAAACCACCACCACUGCAAACUUGACCUGUUAAAUGUGUGUAUGUGUCGAUGAGAAUAACUGUAUGUGCAGGAAGAUAAAGUUUAUGUAUGCACAUCUUGAUAAAUAAAUAAACUAUGCAUUUCACGAUC
This 379-nucleotide long non-coding RNA is filed under the name Daucus carota (carrot). Its description in RNAcentral is "long non-coding RNA (DCAR_LNC000124)". Lineage: Eukaryota; Viridiplantae; Streptophyta; Magnoliopsida; Apiales; Apiaceae. The record is from RNAcentral.